Molecule: ribosomal RNA, 497 nt
Filed under: uncultured bacterium
Lineage: Bacteria
Description: partial 16S ribosomal RNA
Rfam family: Bacterial small subunit ribosomal RNA
Source: RNAcentral
GAUGAACGCUGGCGGCGUGCCUAAUACAUGCAAGUCGAGCGAACAGACGAGGAGCUUGCUCCUUUGACGUUAGCGGCGGACGGGUGAGUAACACGUGGGUAACCUACCUAUAAGACUGGGAUAACUUCGGGAAACCGGAGCUAAUACCGGAUAAUAUUUCGAACCGCAUGGUUCGAUAGUGAAAGAUGGCUUUGCUAUCACUUAUAGAUGGACCUGCGCCGUAUUAGCUAGUUGGUAAGGUAACGGCUUACCAAGGCAACGAUACGUAGCCGACCUGAGAGGGUGAUCGGCCAGAUUGGAACUGAGACACGGUCCAGACUCCUACGGGGGGCAGCGGUAGGGAAUCUUCCGCAAUGGGCGAGAGCCUGACGGAGCAACGCCGCGUGAGUGAUGAAGGUCUUCGGAUCGUAAAACUCUGUUAUUAGGGAAGAACAAACGUGUAAGUAACUGUGCACGUCUUGACGGUACCUAAUCAGAAAGCCACGGCUAACUACGUG